RNAcentral lists this unclassified non-coding RNA (414 nucleotides) under Hevea brasiliensis (rubber tree). The record is from RNAcentral. Lineage: Eukaryota; Viridiplantae; Streptophyta; Magnoliopsida; Malpighiales; Euphorbiaceae.
GCACAUCUAACUAAAUACACCCAAACAGGAAUAUCAAAACCUGGAAAUAACAAGAAGACAAUUCCAGAAUUAAAAAUGUAAUAGCAUACUAACCUCUAUUUAUUUCGAUAAAAUGCAGUAUGGCAAUCAACCCAUAAGUCCCUUGCAUGAAAAUUUUGUGUUUUCAGCAUGGAACACCAAUUCCCCUCCUUUCCAAUAUUUUUCACCUUUCUCCUCUUUAUCUUCAUGGCAUUGAGAAUAUGGAAGAAAUCAAAUAUCAACAACUCAUCCCUCAAUUUACCACCAGGACCAUGGAAAUUGCCUCUGAUAGGUAGUAUGCAUCAUUUAGUUGGCUCCUUACCCCAUCACCGUCUAAGAGACUUGGCUAAAAAGAUGGACCUCUUAUGCACAUUCAACUUGGUGAAGUUACCAAUA